Molecule: ribosomal RNA, 915 nt
Filed under: Salmonella enterica subsp. enterica serovar Chester
Lineage: Bacteria; Pseudomonadati; Pseudomonadota; Gammaproteobacteria; Enterobacterales; Enterobacteriaceae
Description: partial 23S ribosomal RNA
Rfam family: Bacterial large subunit ribosomal RNA
Source: RNAcentral
GAGGGAAACCGAGUCUUAACCGGGCGUUAAGUUGCAGGGUAUAGACCCGAAACCCGGUGAUCUAGCCAUGGGCAGGUUGAAGGUUGGGUAACACUAACUGGAGGACCGAACCGACUAAUGUUGAAAAAUUAGCGGAUGACCUGUGGCUGGGGGUGAAAGGCCAAUCAAACCGGGAGAUAGCUGGUUCUCCCCGAAAGCUAUUUAGGUAGCGCCUCGUGAAUUCAUCUCCGGGGGUAGAGCACUGUUUCGGCUAGGGGGCCAUCCCGGCUUACCAACCCGAUGCAAACUGCGAAUACCGGAGAAUGUUAUCACGGGAGACACACGGCGGGUGCUAACGUCCGUCGUGAAGAGGGAAACAACCCAGACCGCCAGCUAAGGUCCCAAAGUCAUGGUUAAGUGGGAAACGAUGUGGGAAGGCCCAGACAGCCAGGAUGUUGGCUUAGAAGCAGCCAUCAUUUAAAGAAAGCGUAAUAGCUCACUGGUCGAGUCGGCCUGCGCGGAAGAUGUAACGGGGCUAAACCAUGCACCGAAGCUGCGGCAGCGACGCUGAUGCGUUGUUGGGUAGGGGAGCGUUCUGUAAGCCUGCGAAGGUGGCCUGUGAGGGUUGCUGGAGGUAUCAGAAGUGCGAAUGCUGACAUAAGUAACGAUAAAGCGGGUGAAAAGCCCGCUCGCCGGAAGACCAAGGGUUCCUGUCCAACGUUAAUCGGGGCAGGGUGAGUCGACCCCUAAGGCGAGGCCGAAAGGCGUAGUCGAUGGGAAACGGGUUAAUAUUCCCGUACUUGGUGUUACUGCGAAGGGGGGACGGAGAAGGCUAUGUUGGCCGGGCGACGGUUGUCCCGGUUUAAGCGUGUAGGUGUGUGUUCCAGGUAAAUCCGGUUCACUUUAACACUGAGGCGUGAUGACGAGGCACUACGG